Long non-coding RNA from Octopus sinensis (East Asian common octopus), 99 nucleotides. RefSeq lists it as uncharacterized. NCBI's taxonomy places the organism in Eukaryota, Metazoa, Mollusca, Cephalopoda, Octopoda, Octopodidae. The record is from RefSeq and is a predicted model, not a curated record. The transcript is spliced from 3 exons.
AGAGAUAAAAGUAAAAGAGAAAGAUAUAGAGAGAAAGAUAGAGAGAGAGAGAGACUAAGUUAAUAAUAGAUUAGUGGGAGUGGAUUAGUGGUGAGCUAG